Molecule: ribosomal RNA, 481 nt
Filed under: uncultured bacterium
Lineage: Bacteria
Description: partial 16S ribosomal RNA
Rfam family: Bacterial small subunit ribosomal RNA
Source: RNAcentral
GAUGAACGCUGGCGGCGUGCUUAACACAUGCAAGUCGAGCGAUGAAACACCUUCGGGUGCGGAUUAGCGGCGAACGGGUGAGGAACACGUGAGGAAUCUGCCUUCCACUCUGGGAUAACUCCGGGACACCGGGGCUAAUACCGGAGAUGACCUCCUUGGGCAUCCUCGGAGGUGGAAAGUUCUUCGGUGAGGGAUGGGCCCGCGGCCUAUCAGCUUGUUGGUGAGGUAGUGGCUCACCAAGGCGACGACGGGGAGCCGGCCUGAGAGGGCGACCGGCCACACUGGGACUGAGACACGGCCCAGACUCCUACGGGAGGCAGCAGUGGGGAAUAUUGCGCAAUGGGCGAAAGCCUGCCGCAGCAACGCCGCGUGCGGGAUGACGGCCUUCGGGUUGUAAACCGCUUUCAGCAGGGAAGAAGCCGCAAGGUGACGGUACCUGCAGAAAAAGCACCGGCUAACUACGUGCCAGCAGCCGCAGUAA